This 381-nucleotide unclassified non-coding RNA is filed under the name Saccharomyces cerevisiae (brewer's yeast). Its description in RNAcentral is "sequence contains 18S rRNA gene, ITS1 and 5.8S rRNA gene". The record is from RNAcentral. Lineage: Eukaryota; Fungi; Ascomycota; Saccharomycetes; Saccharomycetales; Saccharomycetaceae.
AGGAUCAUUAAAGAAAUUUAAUAAUUUUGAAAAUGGAUUUUUUUGUUUUGGCAAGAGCAUGAGAGCUUUUACUGGGCAAGAAGACAAGAGAUGGAGAGUCCAGCCGGGCCUGCGCUUAAGUGCGCGGUCUUGCUAGGCUUGUAAGUUUCUUUCUUGCUAUUCCAAACGGUGAGAGAUUUCUGUGCUUUUGUUAUAGGACAAUUAAAACCGUUUCAAUACAACACACUGUGGAGUUUUCAUAUCUUUGCAACUUUUUCUUUGGGCAUUCGAGCAAUCGGGGCCCAGAGGUAACAAACACAAACAAUUUUAUCUAUUCAUUAAAUUUUUGUCAAAAACAAGAAUUUUCGUAACUGGAAAUUUUAAAAUAUUAAAAACUUUCAA